This 151-nucleotide unclassified non-coding RNA is filed under the name soil metagenome. RNAcentral describes it as "partial internal transcribed spacer 1". The record is from RNAcentral.
GCGAGUAUGGCCCUCACGGGUCUAAUCCACCAUAAGCACCUUUGUGAACCAGUCAGGGGGACUCGGCCGUGAAAGCCCAGGCGAUUAGCGGAAGGGCCCUCCUUCGCAAACCCGUUUAGAAGUCUUGAAAGUACUUUUGUAUAAUCUAGUA